CCAGACUCCUACGGGAGGCAGCAGUGAGGAAUAUUGGUCAAUGGGCGCGAGCCUGAACCAGCCAAGUCGCGUGAGGGAGGACGGCCCUACGGGUUGUAAACCUCUUUUGCCGGGGAGCAACGGGCGUCACGUGUGGCGCCACUGAGAGUACCCGGAGAAAAAGCAUCGGCUAACUCCGUGCCAGCAGCCGCGGUAAUACGGAGGAUGCGAGCGUUAUCCGGAUUUAUUGGGUUUAAAGGGUGCGUAGGCGGGGUCGUUAGUGAGGGGUGAAAUGGGGGGGCCCCACCCCCUCCCCGCCAUUGAAACUGGCGCUCUUGAGUGGAAGAGAAGUAUGCGGAAUGCGUGGUGUAGCGGUGAAAUGCAUAGAUAUCGCGCAGAACCCCGAUUGCGAAGGCAGCGUGCCGUGCCGCCACUGACGCUGAGGCACGAAAGCGCGGGGAUCGAACAGGAUUAGAUACCCGUGUAC
This 466-nucleotide ribosomal RNA is filed under the name uncultured bacterium. RNAcentral describes it as "partial 16S ribosomal RNA". It matches the Rfam family "Bacterial small subunit ribosomal RNA", at positions 331 to 793 of the family's 1533-position model. The record is from RNAcentral.